RNAcentral lists this ribosomal RNA (1577 nucleotides) under Klebsiella quasipneumoniae. RNAcentral describes it as "partial 23S ribosomal RNA". It matches the Rfam family "Bacterial large subunit ribosomal RNA", at positions 146 to 1767 of the family's 2925-position model. The record is from RNAcentral. Lineage: Bacteria; Pseudomonadati; Pseudomonadota; Gammaproteobacteria; Enterobacterales; Enterobacteriaceae.
CACUAUCGUUAACUGAAUACAUAGGUUAACGAGGCGAACCGGGGGAACUGAAACAUCUAAGUACCCCGAGGAAAAGAAAUCAACCGAGAUUCCCCCAGUAGCGGCGAGCGAACGGGGAGCAGCCCAGAGUCUGAAUCAGCUUGUGUGUUAGUGGAACGGUCUGGAAAGUCCGACGGUACAGGGUGAUAGUCCCGUACACCAAAAUGCACAGGCUGUGAACUCGAAGAGUAGGGCGGGACACGUGGUAUCCUGUCUGAAUAUGGGGGGACCAUCCUCCAAGGCUAAAUACUCCUGACUGACCGAUAGUGAACCAGUACCGUGAGGGAAAGGCGAAAAGAACCCCGGCGAGGGGAGUGAAAAAGAACCUGAAACCGUGUACGUACAAGCAGUGGGAGCACCUUCGGGUGUGACUGCGUACCUUUUGUAUAAUGGGUCAGCGACUUAUAUUCUGUAGCAAGGUUAACCGUAUAGGGGAGCCGCAGGGAAACCGAGUCUUAACUGGGCGUUAAGUUGCAGGGUAUAGACCCGAAACCCGGUGAUCUAGCCAUGGGCAGGUUGAAGGUUGGGUAACACUAACUGGAGGACCGAACCGACUAAUGUUGAAAAAUUAGCGGAUGACUUGUGGCUGGGGGUGAAAGGCCAAUCAAACCGGGAGAUAGCUGGUUCUCCCCGAAAGCUAUUUAGGUAGCGCCUCGUGAACUCAUCUUCGGGGGUAGAGCACUGUUUCGGCUAGGGGGUCAUCCCGACUUACCAACCCGAUGCAAACUACGAAUACCGAAGAAUGUUAUCACGGGAGACACACGGCGGGUGCUAACGUCCGUCGUGAAGAGGGAAACAACCCAGACCGCCAGCUAAGGUCCCAAAGUCAUGGUUAAGUGGGAAACGAUGUGGGAAGGCACAGACAGCCAGGAUGUUGGCUUAGAAGCAGCCAUCAUUUAAAGAAAGCGUAAUAGCUCACUGGUCGAGUCGGCCUGCGCGGAAGAUGUAACGGGGCUAAACCAUGCACCGAAGCUGCGGCAGCGACACUAUGUGUUGUUGGGUAGGGGAGCGUUCUGUAAGCCUGCGAAGGUGACCUGUGAGGGUUGCUGGAGGUAUCAGAAGUGCGAAUGCUGACAUAAGUAACGAUAAAGCGGGUGAAAAGCCCGCUCGCCGGAAGACCAAGGGUUCCUGUCCAACGUUAAUCGGGGCAGGGUGAGUCGACCCCUAAGGCGAGGCCGAAAGGCGUAGUCGAUGGGAAACAGGUUAAUAUUCCUGUACUUGGUGUUACUGCGAAGGGGGGACGGAGAAGGCUAUGUUAGCCGGGCGACGGUUGUCCCGGUUUAAGCAUGUAGGCUGAUUAUCCAGGCAAAUCCGGAUAAUCAAGGCUGAGGUGUGAUGACGAGGCACUACGGUGCUGAAGUAACAAAUGCCCUGCUUCCAGGAAAAGCCUCUAAGCAUCAGGUAACAUCAAAUCGUACCCCAAACCGACACAGGUGGUCAGGUAGAGAAUACCAAGGCGCUUGAGAGAACUCGGGUGAAGGAACUAGGCAAAAUGGUGCCGUAACUUCGGGAGAAGGCACGCUGGUGUGUAGGUGAAG